AGUGGGGAAUCUUAGACAAUGGGGGCAACCCUGAUCUAGCCAUGCCGCGUGAGUGAUGAAGGCCCUAGGGUCGUAAAGCUCUUUCGCCUGUGAAGAUAAUGACGGUAGCAGGUAAAGAAACCCCGGCUAACUCCGUGCCAGCAGCCGCGGUAAUACGGAGGGGGUUAGCGUUGUUCGGAAUUACUGGGCGUAAAGCGCACGUAGGCGGACUAUUAAGUCAGGGGUGAAAUCCCGGGGCUCAACCCCGGAACUGCCUUUGAUACUGGUAGUCUUGAGUUCGAGAGAGGUGAGUGGAAUUCCGAGUGUAGAGGUGAAAUUCGUAGAUAUUCGGAGGAACACCAGUGGCGAAGGCGGCUCACUGGCUCGAUACUGACGCUGAGGUGCGAAAGUGUGGGGAGCAAA
RNAcentral lists this ribosomal RNA (402 nucleotides) under uncultured Celeribacter sp. RNAcentral's name for it is "bacterial SSU rRNA". It matches the Rfam family "Bacterial small subunit ribosomal RNA", at positions 353 to 772 of the family's 1533-position model. Lineage: Bacteria; Pseudomonadati; Pseudomonadota; Alphaproteobacteria; Rhodobacterales; Roseobacteraceae. The record is from RNAcentral.